CAGCACUCCGGGCAUCGUGUUGGUUGGUGACAGUAAGGACACCCUGUCUUACAGCAAGCAGAGCCUAACUGAGGAACUCGUGAUGUGAGCCCUAGGCAGGAGCUGGACGUGGGCAGCAGCAGCAGGAGCAGCCUGGUGUGGAGCUUCCUGGAGAACACCCACAGUUUUACAAAGCAAUAGCACACCUCAGAAGAGAUGCUUGAUAUAGCAACAGAAGACUUUAAAGCCAUGGGAAUAACCUUUGGCUUGAAUUUAAAUGCAUAUCUCCAGGGACUUUAAACUCAAAUCAGACUGCUUUCUACCCAACAGAUUUUGCAGAAGAGGAGGGCUCUGAGAACACAGGCAAGUCAUCGCAACCGGAUGUGGCAUGACAGUUUUGUUGGCUGUGAGCACGCUGAGGAGCUGUAACAAGGAUUGUACAUCUCUGUAUAACGUAGAUCUGUGUACAGUCCUGGCUCUGGCCUGUGUGUGCACACACAGCAUCUUCUCUGUGCAGGCCACCCCAAUUCACCUGGUGCAGCUUUUCUCCUACAAAAGAGGUUUCUGGGACCAUGACUGUUCAUAACCAUCAUUAAACAUUAAGGAAUGAUA
This is a non-coding RNA of Cyanistes caeruleus (blue tit), 591 nucleotides long. The record is from RefSeq and is a predicted model, not a curated record. Lineage: Eukaryota; Metazoa; Chordata; Aves; Passeriformes; Paridae.